RNAcentral lists this unclassified non-coding RNA (200 nucleotides) under soil metagenome. Its description in RNAcentral is "partial contains internal transcribed spacer 2 and large subunit ribosomal RNA". The record is from RNAcentral.
GUUCGAGCGUCAUUUCAACCCUCAAGCUCUGCUUGUCUUGGGCCGCGCCGGCAACGGCGGGCCUCAAAAACAGUGGCGGCGCAUCGUGUCCCUCAGCGUAGUAAUUCUUCUCGCUGCUGGUGCCCGGUGGCCGCUGGCCAGCAACCCCAAAUUUUUCUAUGGUUGACCUCGGAUCAGGUAGGGAUACCCGCUGAACUUAA